CAAGCCGAUGAUCCGUAGGGGGCGUGAGAGCGUGGCCCCCCACACUGGCACUGAGACACGGGCCAGACUCCUACGGGAGGCAGCAGUGAGGAAUAUUGCACAAUGGGCGCAAGCCUGAUGCAGCAACGCCGCGUGCGGGACGAAGGCCUUCGGGUCGUAAACCGCUUUUCUGGGGAAAGAGCAAGGACGGUACCUCAGGAAUAAGUCUCGGCUAACUACGUGCCAGCAGCCGCGGUAAAACGUAGGAGGCGAGCGUUAUCCGGAUUUACUGGGCGUAAAGCGCACGCAGGCGGCUCCGUGAGUCGGACGUGAAAGCUCUCGGCUUAACCGGGAGAGGCCGUUCGAUACUGCGGGGCUUGAGGUAGGGAGAGGAAUGCGGAAUUCCCGGUGUAGUGGUGGAAUGCGUAGAUAUCGGGAGGAACACCUGUGGCGAAAGCGGCAUUCUGGCCCUCACCUGACGCUGAGGUGCGAAAGCGUGGGUAGCAAACAGGAUUAGAUACCCUGGUAGUCCACGCCGUAAACGAUGUCAACUGGGUGUCGGUAGUUUUACACUAGCGGUGCCGAAGCUAACGCG
This 574-nucleotide ribosomal RNA is filed under the name uncultured bacterium. RNAcentral describes it as "bacterial SSU rRNA". It matches the Rfam family "Bacterial small subunit ribosomal RNA", at positions 269 to 859 of the family's 1533-position model. The record is from RNAcentral.